CGUUCCGCCGCUGCCCGCGCAGAGCGUGUCCAGCGUUGGGGCCUCGCGCCGCCCGAGGCCACGGGUUCUCUGCCUCGUGCCGACGUUGCCCGGCUUUCCCACUUUCCAGAGCUCUCGGCUAGCAUAGCCAAGGAAAAGCUCCAACGCCAUACUUCUGCUUCCCACUAUAUUAAAAUUCCUCUGAAGAGCAGAAGUGAAAUGAAGCCGUAACCUUGGUUCAGACCCGCCGUUUCCUGUGGCGCCAACAAUGACUUCCCCCGAGAAAGCAGGAGCCCUCCUGAAGCAGAAUCACGCUUGGAACACGGGGAGAAAAUUUGUCAGCCUCGGCCUCAGCAUGUUUCCAUCGGGGCUCUUUCUGGGAAGAACACUCCAAGUAUCAGACCUUCUACUACCAUCAGGAAAGAACUCUGGAUGCUGUUCUGAACUAGAGGAAAAGCAGUACCAGGCAGGUGUGCUCACUGUGGCUGGCACACAUUAUGCUGACUACGCAACAAUAAUGGGGACGGUCUCAGAGGCUGCUGAGGAUCCACCAGGUAACGCGGAGAAGCGACUGCCAUCAUGGUGCCCUGAGCAGGCACUCAGUGCUCAUAGCUCUCACACUGUUACCACUAACAACUCAACAUCUCUCUAGGGUGCUCCUCAUCUGCCCACCACCUGCCUUGACCUUCAGCACACCUGCACCUUCCACAGAGGACUUACCCCAGAGCGGGGGAAGAUGGGAGGGAAGAAGGGAGACAGCCUCCAGUGUCCGCUUGGGCCUGGGUCCCAGUGAAGGCUUCUUGGCUGCCCACUGGCU
Molecule: long non-coding RNA, 796 nt
Organism: Diceros bicornis minor
Lineage: Eukaryota; Metazoa; Chordata; Mammalia; Perissodactyla; Rhinocerotidae
Exons: 4
Source: RefSeq, a predicted model, not a curated record